Podarcis lilfordi (Lilford's wall lizard) is the source of this 69-nucleotide non-coding RNA. The record is from the annotation of a GenBank genome assembly. Lineage: Eukaryota; Metazoa; Chordata; Lepidosauria; Squamata; Lacertidae.
GUCUGCUCAGUUGGUGAGAGUGUGGUGCUGAUAACACCAAGGUCGCAGGUUCGAUCCCCAUCAUGGACA